This is a long non-coding RNA of Gasterosteus aculeatus aculeatus (three-spined stickleback), 4438 nucleotides long. The record is from Ensembl. NCBI's taxonomy places the organism in Eukaryota, Metazoa, Chordata, Actinopteri, Perciformes, Gasterosteidae.
AUGUCUCACAUCUGCAUAUGGAACUACAGCACAUAGUAGUUAAAAUCUACAGAGCCCCAUUAAAGCAUGUAUGUACAUGUAUCUGUAUAUGAGACAUGUCCUUGGUGCGAGACGUCUCCUGAAGACACAAAAACACUUGGAUUCACUUACACUGAAGAGGUCAUGGGAGUUUACUGACCACUAAAUACUUUACCCCCCCUACACACACACACACACACACACACACACACACACACACACACACACACACACACACACACACACACACACUCUCCGAGUGUCCUGACUGCUAAAUACUUUACCCACCUGGCCACCCGCGGCGCUGCUAGUUAAAAGCUUUCCGAUUGGAUGUCCACGUAUCGGGUUUCGCUUUAAAGAGCCUGCGGGAAGCCGAGCCGCUCGCCACCGGCGGGAAAACAUCACGCUUCCAUUCCGGGAAAAGUGUUGGAGAUUGAGCCGCUGACCGGCAGCGGAGGCGGAUGGGUGGAUGCGGGCGGAGGCAGAGAGAGUGCAGGAACUCUUGUAAUGAGUUUACGUGGCUCCGCCCCCUCCGCCCCCCCGUCGUGUUUCAUCUCUUCCUCCCGGCCUGUUUUUGUUUUCCCUUCUCUCAACCUUCUUUCUAUCGCUCUUCUCUUCCCCUCUCCAUCAAUCUCUCACCAAAAACUCUUCCCUUCCCUCCCUUCUCCCCCGCCUCCGUCACCCUCCUCCCUCCCUCCACCAUCACCCUGCCUCCCCUCUUCAAUCCAUUCAUCCCUCCAUCCGUCCGUAGUAAUGUGUCUCUAAAUGAGUUACCCGUGGCAACAAAGUGGAUCCCAUCGCCGUAGCGAUGACAUCAUCCAGUCGAUAUUAUGGGCGGGUGUGAGGGAGGGAGACGGGUCCCUGUGCUUUUUGGUUCUGUCCCGACGACCCGGGAUGCUUCUUUUAUUUGGUGCUGCUGUGGAAAACACACUGACUGAUGAGCAGCUCACACAGCACAACAGGCAAACUGGCCCUUUAAGGUAUUUUUAUGAUUUUUUUUGAUCCGGGACCAUCAAAGACUCUUUUAAAAGGACUCUCAGCUCCGUUUCAGCAUCAGAUCAAUCUCUCGUUAGCAAUUUCUGAAGUGCCGAAUCAGCCAUUUAGAGAGAAAAGUUGGCAGAGGGAUUUGCAUUCACAUCGAUCUCUAUUUGCUUCAUUCGACUCUCAGCAGAAGCUGGCUGGCGGGAAGCUGAAUGAAAUGAGGGCUGCGGGUCACUACAGGUAUCAGAGUUGUAUGUGUGCGGAACAGGAAUACUAAUAAUACUCAGAUCAGGACAUUACAGGCAAUCACAGUGAUGUUUACUCACCCGCGGGACAACGGAGGAAUUCAUUUCUCUGCUUUCAUUUUCCCAUCAAACCACACAGUCGUCUCGGGGCUGUGUGGCUUCUGUGUGUGUUUGUGCGUGUGUUUACCGGGUUUUGUAUAGUGAUGAUUUGUAACAAUGAACCAAACUUAAACAGGGAUUGAAGUUAAUCCACUUCCUCUCUGUCUCCUUGCAGUGUGCUUUAUGCUGCUGCUGCGUCUUUCACGUGAAGAAACAUCUGUGGCGACAACUGAAAUAUGAAAAGACAAAAUGAUUCAAAAAAUAAAAUAAAAUUAUAGAAACUGGCGUGAAAUAAAAUAAUAUAAUAAUGUAAAAUGCAACCAUCUCGGAGCCUUCUAUUGUUUAUUCAGAUCCCUGUGGUUACCACGGCAACAGCCUCCAUAUUGUGGUCCAAGUGGAGUCUGUGGUUUUCACCUGUGACUCGAGUCCAAGUCUGCAGCUGUAUUUCCCCCAUUAAGAAAGACUUCAGAAUUACCCCAAUGCGUGAAGAGGAGACCUGUAAGCAUCCCCUGUGUGUGUGUGUGUGUGUGUGUGUGUCUGUGAGUGUGCGCACUGCGUGUCCUCCUCAGAAGAACCCCCACCUGGUACCAACCACACAGCUCCAAGCACGAGUUCCAUGAAAUCACUUUCCUUCUCCCGCCGACAAUUUAACACACACACACACACACACACACACACACACACACACACACACACACACACACACACGCGCGGGCCCGUUACAACCUUAAUCUCAUUCAUUUAUUUCUCAUCAGCGAGUGACGGGAAGAGAAGCAGUUGCGUCACAUUAGCGCGCUCGGCUUCCAGGAAGCUCCGUUAAAAAGGACGUUCACUUUCUUUUUUUUUUCUUUUUUUUUCACCUCCGCUGCCUCUAUUUACCCAUAAGUCUUUGUAAUCUGUUUAGAGGGCUUAUGGGGGCUUCAGAAAGUGCUCUUUCCCUCAGAGCGCGGCUCGUUUAUCAAGCGAGAUUAAGAAAAGGCCCGGAAAGCGUUUCGGAUACGUGCUAUUAGACGCCUCUCGGCUGCAAAUGAAACCGUACCCAGUCGCGUGUUAUCGAGCAGCAACGCACAAACACGCAACAGUUUGCCUCCACUCGUUGCCGCUGUCCCUCCACAGUGGUUAAUGGCCUGACGUUCGUAAAUCACCUUGUUUAAGGCUUGAGCACUGACACACGUUGGGGAACAGGACACUGUGUGAAAAAGCACAUGAACUCAUUUUUAAAUCUACCAUCUGCGCCCCCCCACAAACAAAGGCUCCAACAGGAGAUAAAACACACCUUCUGUGAGAAUCCAUUUGCUUUAAAAAAAACACGACUUAUUUGGGAUUAUUUUGAAUGCCUAACCCAUGAAAACACACGGCGCGUUAAAGGCUCAACCACCACUUUUAUACACGUGUAAAUAAAUAUACACGUGUUUAAAAGCCACAACGACAGCGUGGAUGUGUGGAGCCACUAAGAAGAAAGAAAGGAGCUCACAUCUGAGCCGCAUGUCCUUGGGGGGGGGGACCCACAUGUGCACACGUUCAUGGACACACUUCAACGGCUUCCUAUUAAACCCCCCCGGACUCAACCCCUGAAUAAUGAAAAGGCUAUUUUGAGUGUGAAACAGCCGCAGUGAGUGUGUGUCUGUGUGUGCACGCUCCGAUAUUUGCAUCAUGAGAAACAAAUGUCCACAGGAGAAUGUGACAUUUUACCGUGCUGCACAUCUGCAACAGCUGGUCGGGGGUUAGGAAACAGGAAAUGAGUGUGUACUGUGAAGUGUGCAUGAAAUCUUAUUGAUGCACUCCUCACCCGGACCUGACCUCUCACACACACAGACACACACACACACACACACACACACACACACCUCUGUCACCGCCGCGCGCUUCCCUUCCUGUUUUGUUCCCAUUUGUUUGUUCCUUUGAAUCGUUCCUGCAGUGACUUCUCUCAGCUAACCGCGCAGUCAAUCUCGCGCUUGUUCACAGACUCAAUCCUCCGCGGUGUCUGCAAAUUAGCAUUUGUCCCGUCCCUUGUCACAACAAAUAUAUUAUGGGUUGUUUUGCUCACAUUUGACAGCGGCUCAUCAGUGAGCUCGUGUGUCCGGUGGGACCCAGUUGACUCAGUCAAAGGGCGUCCUCGCCCUCUUUUGGGGUAAAGACUCGCCUAUUUUUUUCAUCUCUGCCUCAUUCUUUUCAGUGGGUUACGAAGUUUGCGAGAUAUUAUCUGUUCCUUCAAACCAUUUGUGUUUAACUUUAGAAAAUUGCUGUGCAGAAUUGGAGGUCGGUAACCUUUGACCUUUAAAUGCUUGUUCCCUGACACCAUGUAGGGCCCAUUUAAUUGCUUUCUUCUUCUUAUUCGUUUAAUGAUUUGUAACGUGUGUUGUGUGGCUGAGGAGCAGAUAAUAGGAAGCAGUCACCUUUCGGAGCUUUCUGACAUAACUUUGGUAUCUGGAGUUCUAACUGCGUAAUGAGAUGAAGACGUUUCAUCCAAUCUGCACACACGUAGACACGUUCACCAGCGUUGUGCCACAUAAUCCAUCAGUGAUUCAUGUGAAUGUCUGGAGAGGAACAUCUGUUUUUUUUGUACAUUACAAAAACGUGAUGCCUUCAUACAGUUUUCUGGAGAUAUAAACUUGGUUCUGUCUCCUUGUGAAAAGAUGGCCUUAUUUAUCAUUCUGUCAUAUUUAACAAAGCGCUUUUGUCUGUACUCUCCUCCUUUUUUGCUUCGUGAAAAGGAUCACAUCCCUCUGUCGGCAUGCGCGGCUUCACUCAAGCGUGUCUCUUUGUGAAUUUUAGCAUUUUAAUCCACACUUAUCGUGCAGUUCGCGGGUUUCACUGAGUCAGUUUUAAUCUCUUUAAUUCUGUGAGUAAACAACUCUUCAGGUCAAAGUGGCCGUCUGUUUACACAGAGAGGUUUGAAGCGGGUUAUCCCACAUGCACGCAUCAUCCCACGUGCACACGCGUACACAGAUAACAGGCAUAAUUCCGCAGGCGUUCGCACUUGUGUGCCCUCGCUGGCUGCUUCGGAACUAAGAGCAAACAAACAGCGCGUCCGGCAGAGGCUUUUAUUGUGGCGGGACGUUGACUCAGAGGGCAGAAUUCUUUCCGGACAGUAA